This is a long non-coding RNA of Nematostella vectensis (starlet sea anemone), 1434 nucleotides long. RefSeq lists it as uncharacterized. Lineage: Eukaryota; Metazoa; Cnidaria; Anthozoa; Actiniaria; Edwardsiidae. The transcript has 2 exons. The record is from RefSeq and is a predicted model, not a curated record.
AACACGGGAGAAUAACUUCAACUCACUUGUGACAAAUUCGAUUCAAGGCAGGAACCCGGAAAAAUCCCCUGUUUAAGCCAGGAUUCGAACCUGGGCCACAGCGGUUGUUCUGACAGAAUCACAAAACUCUAAGCUAAAGUUACGUUAGGGAUCAAUUGCAAAACGCAAACAAAGUUGUGUUCUGGCCCAAGAUUAAUAUCGGACUUGCCGAGUGGAGAAGAACAAUCCAGUGCGAAACUACUUGUAAGAUUAGGUUCAUUGACCUGCUCAACGGAAAUGUUCCUGGGGAUGCUUUCCUCAUAGAGACAGAAAACGUCUUGAGUCACGAAAAAAUUUAGCAUUCCAAGAGUUUUACGAGCAGCACUAUACAACAGCUGAAUGUGCACCAUCUAAUCCAUCUACACCAUCCGGCAUUCUCGUGUCAAGUUCUGCUGAAUCUAGUAACACUCUCGCUUCAUCUAUUUCUAAAUCUAGCAUAACUUCUUCUAUUUCUGCUGCUAAGUCUAGCAACAAUCUCACUUCAUCUACAUGUAAUUUCUGCUGCUUUAUCUAGCAACACUCUCACUUUAUCUAUUUCUGAAUCUCUAAUGACAUUAUAAAUUCAUAUAUUAUUUCUGCUGGUGAAUCUAGCAACAAUCUCACUUCAUCUAGAUCUAGUUUCUGCUGCUGAAUCUAGCAACACUCUCACUUAAUCUAUUUCUGAAUCUCUAGUAACACAAUAACUUUGUCUAUUUCUGCUGCUGAAUCUAGCAAAACUCUCACUUCAUCUAUUUCUGAAUCUCUAGUAACACUAUUACUUCAUCUAUUUCUGAUGCUGAAUCUAGCAAGAAACAGUGAGUGCAGAUCAAAGCUAUACAAUGAAUGUGAAAUGACAACAAGGACAGGACAGGCUCCAGGUGAUUGACAGUCUUUUAAGAAGCUUACUGGCUGACCAUAUAGAAUCUCUCAAAAGCUCCAACAUUGUUAAGCCUGGGAAAGGGUUCAAGUGAAGAUAAGUGGUGAUGGUGCAGGGAUUAGCCACAUGAGCAACUUUGUUCUUUUGUCCUUCUCCUUUCUUCAUAGUAUAGAUGAUUUAUUGUCAUCAAAAGGCUGCAUUUUUUUGUUAAAAUUUGUAUGUAAUCAUUUGUUUAAAUUCUUAUGUAAUUAUUGGUCCAAUUUUUUCAUACCAGGAAAUCUUACUAUAGCAGUAGUAAGUGGAUCUGAAUCAAGGAAACGAAUAGCAGAGUGCUUCAAGGAUGCACUAAGGGAGAUAAUGAAGUACAAGAGAAUGGCUUUGUCAUGGUAGAUGAAGAAUGUAUUGUUAAGCAGUCUUUAUCAUGACGUAACCUACAAUGUUGCAUUCUGGGUAGUUGUUGGCCUCGUGGGCUGUGUGUUAUGAUCUGUCAUGUUGUAUGUUGAUUAUUGAAGAGAAUAAAAGGAGAAAUACAUCCAAAA